Molecule: long non-coding RNA, 372 nt
Filed under: Cyanistes caeruleus (blue tit)
Lineage: Eukaryota; Metazoa; Chordata; Aves; Passeriformes; Paridae
Description: lncRNA (ENSCCEG00000009497.1)
Source: RNAcentral
UAUAUGGAAAGAGGAGGAAGGAGCUGAUGGAAUCUGAAGAGUUCACUUCAGUGGCACCACUUAGCAGAGCAAGCUCCCUAUUCAUGUCUGCAAGUACCCAGGACUAAAUUGGUCUUUGUUUCAGCAGACACAGAGCCUGAAAGAGAACUUCUCACCAAGUUAUACUUUGAAGUAUCAGCUGUUUGAGCAUCCAAUUUUCAACGUUGCCUUGCACGUUCAAGUAAAGGCAAGACAGUUUUUCGUCUGUGGUAUGGAUGCGCUCUUACAGGGAUCAGUUUGCCUGACCCAGGACACUGAGAUGGAAGUUUGAGAGGAAGAUUCCAGAGCGGUAUGGAAGACCAUAAAGCCUUGAACACUGGAGUUAACUAUUGC